This 378-nucleotide unclassified non-coding RNA is filed under the name uncultured Rickettsiaceae bacterium. RNAcentral describes it as "contains 16S-23S intergenic spacer region". The record is from RNAcentral. Lineage: Bacteria; Pseudomonadati; Pseudomonadota; Alphaproteobacteria; Rickettsiales; Rickettsiaceae.
UCCGGCUUAUCACCGGCAGUUUCCUUAUAGUUCCCGACAUUACUCGCUGGCAAAUAAGGAUGAGGGUUGCGCUCGUUGCGGGACUUAACCCAACAUCUCACGACACGAGCUGACGACAGCCAUGCAACACCUGUGUGUGGUCCAGCCGAACUGACGGAUAUGUCUCCAUAUCCUACGACCACCAUGUCAAGGGUUGGUAAGGUUUUUCGCGUAGCAUCGAAUUAAACCGCAUGCUCCACCGCUUGUGCGAGCCCCCGUCAAUUCCUUUGAGUUUUAAUCUUGCGACCGUACUCCCCAGGCGGAGUGCUUAAUGCGUUAGCUGCGAAACCGAGAGUAAACUCCCGAUAUCUAGCACUCAUCGUUUAGGGCGUGGACUAC